CCUACGGGAGGCAGCAGUGAGGAAUAUUGGUCAAUGGGCGCGAGCCUGAACCAGCCAAGUAGCGUGAAGGAUGACGGCCCUACGGGUUGUAAACUUCUUUUAUAAAGGAAUAAAGUGAAGCCCGUGUGCCUUGUUGUAUGAACUUUAUGAGUAAGUAUCGGCUAAGUCCGUGCCAGCUGCCGAGGGAAUACGGAGGAUACGAGCGUUAUCCGGAGUUAUUGGGUUUAAAGGGGGCGUAGAUGGGGUGUUAAGUCAGUUGUGAAAGUUUGCGGCUCAACCGUAAAAUUGCAAUUGAUACUGGCAGCCUUGAGUACAGUUGAGGUAGGCGGAAUUCGUGGUGUAGCGGUGAAAUGCUUAGAUAUCACGAAGAACUCCGAUUGCGAAGGCAGCUUACUAAACUGCCACUGACAUUGAUGCUCGAAAGUGUGGGUAUCAAACAGGAUUAGAUACCCGAGUAGUC
This 460-nucleotide ribosomal RNA is filed under the name uncultured bacterium. RNAcentral describes it as "partial 16S ribosomal RNA". It matches the Rfam family "Bacterial small subunit ribosomal RNA", at positions 338 to 795 of the family's 1533-position model. The record is from RNAcentral.